UACGUAGGGCGCAAGCGUUGUCCGGAUUUAUUGGGCGUAAAGAGCUCGUAGGCGGUCUGUUACGUCGGCUGUGAAAACCCGAGGCUCAACCUCGGGCCUGCAGUCGAUACGGGCAGACUAGAGUGCGGUAGGGGAGACUGGAAUUCCUGGUGUAGCGGUGAAAUGCGCAGAUAUCAGGAGGAACACCGGUGGCGAAGGCGGGUCUCUGGGCCGUAACUGACGCUGAGGAGCGAAAGCGUGGGGAGCGAACAGG
RNAcentral lists this ribosomal RNA (253 nucleotides) under uncultured bacterium. RNAcentral's name for it is "partial 16S ribosomal RNA". It matches the Rfam family "Bacterial small subunit ribosomal RNA", at positions 524 to 776 of the family's 1533-position model. The record is from RNAcentral.